Notechis scutatus (mainland tiger snake) is the source of this 96-nucleotide non-coding RNA. Lineage: Eukaryota; Metazoa; Chordata; Lepidosauria; Squamata; Elapidae. The record is from RefSeq and is a predicted model, not a curated record.
GUGGCUUUGGCCCAGUCCACCUAAUGCAAAAAGAGGAAACAUGCCAGCAGUUUAGGGAGUGGUGUCAAGCUGGCCAUUCCCAGUUGUGUCAAACUC